Molecule: non-coding RNA, 46 nt
Organism: Trichobilharzia regenti
Lineage: Eukaryota; Metazoa; Platyhelminthes; Trematoda; Strigeidida; Schistosomatidae
Source: Rfam
GUACUGCUGAAGAGUCCUAAAAUAGGACGAAACAGCUGUCCAGUAC